AAACAAAAGGAGAACAGCUGAUCAAAACAUGACGGCAAUGCAAAAGUAUUAGCACGCGUUUUGUCAGGUUUGCUGUUUUCAGGGGAAAAAUAAUAUUUUUUCAACAAAAUAUACGCGGUGUCCGUUUGGAUCGUUGAAGUUUCCGAAAGCCUCAGAUAAGAUAUGAACUAUAGUCGGUGUUAAGACUGGAAGUUUAAAAAAAAUACCCCAGGACCUCACCAAAAACACAACCACCUCACUUGAACGUAACUAUAUAUAUGCUUCUUCCUUAAGGAAUUCCAGAGAGAGAUCCCCGCUUUAAGGAUUUUGUAAUCCCUUUAAUGCGGAAGAAGGUGUCAAAACUGUGCAGCAUGAACUGUUUACAAAACUACCUGCAAACCCACUACAUCCGCCAACAUCACCAACACAGGAACAAAGCCGAUUUUCAUUUCUACAAGUCAAAAGCCAUUAUCCUGAUGAGACAACAUUUUGAAAAAGAGAACCAGUCGGAAAAAUGCGACCCGUACUGGCAGAUUACUACAGAUGGCGACGCGUUUAAAACGUUAGCUAAAAAAUAGUUCUGCGUUCCCGCAUCUUCGUGCGAAUCUGAAAGAGUUUUCAGUAAAGCUGGACAACUUACUAUAAGUGAGCGUCGCACGAGUUACCUUCUCU
This is a long non-coding RNA of Bactrocera dorsalis (oriental fruit fly), 651 nucleotides long. RefSeq lists it as uncharacterized. The record is from RefSeq and is a predicted model, not a curated record. NCBI's taxonomy places the organism in Eukaryota, Metazoa, Arthropoda, Insecta, Diptera, Tephritidae. The transcript is spliced from 4 exons.